This 253-nucleotide ribosomal RNA is filed under the name uncultured bacterium. RNAcentral describes it as "partial 16S ribosomal RNA". It matches the Rfam family "Bacterial small subunit ribosomal RNA", at positions 524 to 776 of the family's 1533-position model. The record is from RNAcentral.
UACGUAGGUGGCAAGCGUUGUCCGGAUUUAUUGGGUUUAAAGGGUGCGUAGGCGGCCUAUUAAGUCAGUGCUGAAAUAUCCCGGCUUAACCGGGAGGGUGGCAUUGAUACUGAUGGGCUUGAGUAAAGUUGAGGUAGGCGGAAUUGACGGUGUAGCGGUGAAAUGCUUAGAUAUCGUCAAGAACACCUAUUGCGAAGGCAGCUUACUAGGCUGUAACUGACGCUGAGGCACGAAAGUGUGGGGAUCAAACAGG